This 324-nucleotide ribosomal RNA is filed under the name Triticum aestivum (bread wheat). RNAcentral's name for it is "partial small subunit ribosomal RNA". The record is from RNAcentral. Lineage: Eukaryota; Viridiplantae; Streptophyta; Magnoliopsida; Poales; Poaceae.
AUGAGAUCAUUUCCGCGCUUCAAUUUGACAACCGGAGCCCUCUCCGGCGAAGCCCACAACCACCCGACGCCGCCGUCCACCGGAGUCGACCUCGCUGUCGUCCUGGUGCUCGCCGGCGACCACCACCACUACCAACCGAUGCGGGGUGCCACCCCGAACGCAUCCCGACCAUCGCCGCCUCCUGAAACACUGGCGAUCGCCACCGAAAGCGAAGAGGGGGACUAUACCGAGAGUUUUGAAGAACCUCUUGCUGAUUACUUUGGUCAAGACCUGGAGGAGGACGAGCUUGCCGAGGAGGACUGCGCUAGCGAGCCCAAUGCGUAG